Molecule: unclassified non-coding RNA, 512 nt
Filed under: Hevea brasiliensis (rubber tree)
Lineage: Eukaryota; Viridiplantae; Streptophyta; Magnoliopsida; Malpighiales; Euphorbiaceae
Source: RNAcentral
AAUUGUUUCAAUUAAAUCAAAUACAAUUUUAAUCACAACAAAGCUACAAGCCUAAAAUAAAAAUAUGUAUGCCUUGAAGGAAACUCUCAUGAAACUCUCGAAAACUCAUGAAACACAAGAUCAAAACCAAAAUGACAAUAAAAACAGUUGAACCAUCAGCAAAUGAAGGUGGAAAACAAACCCAAGUAGAGAAACAAAUCUAUUACUCAAAGAUUCUCGAAACUAUCCAUCGAUCUAGCGAAACAACUCGACCAUGACGGCAGCAAAAGGCAGAGCAAUGAGAGAAAUUGCCAACAGAGACAUAGAGUCCUUGCUAUCAUAACAAAAGGCGUGACCUGUUGGAGCCAUUCUAUUCUGGCACAUAGGGGCAAAGCAAUUGAGGAAGAGGGAGAGGAAAGGAACUAAAGAAGAACAAUAAAAGGAAGAAUCAAGGGAAACAAUGAGAAAGUGAAGAAAAAAAAAGAAGGAAGAGGAGGAGGGUGGGGCUGUGGUGGCGUGAGAAAUGAAAGGUA